This 72-nucleotide transfer RNA is filed under the name Camelus bactrianus (Bactrian camel). It matches the Rfam family "tRNA". Rfam says of the family: Transfer RNA (tRNA) molecules are approximately 80 nucleotides in length. Their secondary structure includes four short double-helical elements and three loops (D, anti-codon, and T loops). RNAcentral also lists the same sequence under 2 other names. The record is from Rfam by way of RNAcentral. Lineage: Eukaryota; Metazoa; Chordata; Mammalia; Artiodactyla; Camelidae.
GGGAUUAUAGCUCAGUGGUAGAGUCCAUGCUUAGCAUCCAUGAGGACCUGAGUUCAAUCCCUAGUACCUCCA